RNAcentral lists this ribosomal RNA (550 nucleotides) under Klebsiella pneumoniae. Its description in RNAcentral is "bacterial SSU rRNA". It matches the Rfam family "Bacterial small subunit ribosomal RNA", at positions 1 to 542 of the family's 1533-position model. The record is from RNAcentral. RNAcentral also lists the same sequence under 1 other name. Lineage: Bacteria; Pseudomonadati; Pseudomonadota; Gammaproteobacteria; Enterobacterales; Enterobacteriaceae.
AAAUUGAAGAGUUUGAUCAUGGCUCAGAUUGAACGCUGGCGGCAGGCCUAACACAUGCAAGUCGAGCGGUAGCACAGAGAGCUUGCUCUCGGGUGACGAGCGGCGGACGGGUGAGUAAUGUCUGGGAAACUGCCUGAUGGAGGGGGAUAACUACUGGAAACGGUAGCUAAUACCGCAUAACGUCGCAAGACCAAAGUGGGGGACCUUCGGGCCUCAUGCCAUCAGAUGUGCCCAGAUGGGAUUAGCUAGUAGGUGGGGUAAUGGCUCACCUAGGCGACGAUCCCUAGCUGGUCUGAGAGGAUGACCAGCCACACUGGAACUGAGACACGGUCCAGACUCCUACGGGAGGCAGCAGUGGGGAAUAUUGCACAAUGGGCGCAAGCCUGAUGCAGCCAUGCCGCGUGUGUGAAGAAGGCCUUCGGGUUGUAAAGCACUUUCAGCGGGGAGGAAGGCGUUAAGGUUAAUAACCUUGGCGAUUGACGUUACCCGCAGAAGAAGCACCGGCUAACUCCGUGCCAGCAGCCGCGGUAAUACGGAGGGUGCAAGCGUU